AACGAACGCUGGCGGCAGGCUUAACACAUGCAAGUCGAACGCAUCCUUCGGGAUGAGUGGCAGACGGGUGAGUAACGCGUGGGAACGUGCCCUUUAGUUUGGAAUAACCCAGGGAAACUUGGGCUAAUACCGGAUACGCCCGAAAGGGAAGAUUUAUCGCUGAAGGAGCGGCCCGCGUCUGAUUAGCUAGUUGGUGAGGUAAUGGCUCACCAAGGCGACGAUCAGUAGCUGGUCGAGAGGAUGAUCAGCCACACUGGGACUGAGACACGGCCCAGACUCCUACGGGAGGCAGCAGUGGGGAAUAUUGGACAAUGGGCGCAAGCCUGAUCCAGCCAUGCCGCGUGAGUGAUGAAGGCCUUA
RNAcentral lists this ribosomal RNA (360 nucleotides) under uncultured bacterium. RNAcentral's name for it is "bacterial SSU rRNA". It matches the Rfam family "Bacterial small subunit ribosomal RNA", at positions 29 to 419 of the family's 1533-position model. The record is from RNAcentral.